RNAcentral lists this ribosomal RNA (253 nucleotides) under uncultured bacterium. RNAcentral's name for it is "partial 16S ribosomal RNA". It matches the Rfam family "Bacterial small subunit ribosomal RNA", at positions 524 to 776 of the family's 1533-position model. The record is from RNAcentral.
UACGUAGGGCGCAAGCGUUGUCCGGAAUUAUUGGGCGUAAAGAGCUCGUAGGCGGUCUGUCGCGUCGGCUGUGAAAACCCGAGGCUCAACCUCGGGCCUGCAGUCGAUACGGGCAGACUAGAGUGCUGUAGGGGAGACUGGAAUUCCUGGUGUAGCGGUGAAAUACGCAGAUAUCAGGAGGAACACCGGUGGCGAAGGCGGGUCUCUGGGCAGUAACUGACGCUGAGGAGCGAAAGCGUGGGGAGCAAACAGG